UGUGUUGCUACCGGUUGCGCCAGGCCGCCGAACGGUGGCGCUGAUCGCGUGCUGCAAGCGGCCCGGAAUUCGCAUCACUGCUUCCGAGCACUGUUCUAGAUAUAUCGCGGCAGUGCAACACGUGUGGACGAAUCACGUGCAAGUGCUCCGUGAAGAGUGCAAUGUGAUCUAAAGAUUAAAAAAAGAAACAUGGAAAAUAACGAGCGAGUGGAAUGCGAACUGCUGGAAGAGUGCGACCAGGUUGCUAUUUUAAUGGAGUGUUUCACAUGCAACGAUGCGAUGAAUAUAUCGAGCAGCUCUGUCGUGUCAAGCGUCCGUGCCUCGCCAUUGAACACAGACGAUCCGUAGUAGCGAGGAUCGUGCGAAUACAAAAACGCAAUUGGAGCGACGUUUCGUAUACAUUAGUGGCGAGUACGCGUGUGGCAACGAAAGGCGAGAGAUUGAUGCCGCGUUUGAGAAUCGUGUUCUGAUAGGCGGAGUGUAAAUUCUAAUCACAUCGAGCCGUGGAGGAAGACGCGAGAAAAAUAGUGUUCGAACAUGUGUGAGACGCUAUAGAAAGACACGGUAGUGUGAACACCGUGUUCCACGAAAUUUGCGACGAAUGACAAAUGUGUUAAGAGUAUAAACACUAAGAACAUUGAGAUAUACCGAUGCACCGAUUUGCGCGAGUAAUAUGAGCCACAUUGCGCAGCGCGUCAUCGAACACACGUUGACAUCGCUCGAAAAGUUCAAGUCCAAGAAUGCGACAGCGAGUGGGCAUAAUCACAUAUAUUGAAUUUAAUUGUCAACGUGAACAAACUAAAUCAGUCAGUAACCUACCUUCAUCUGACGAAGAAGUACUAUCCGACGAUACUGGUUAUGCUAGUAACUUGAGCGAGUACGGAUCGUACAGAAAAAUUUGUGCCAUCUCCGAAAAUCCGUGUGUGAACAGCCGUACUAAACACUGCAUGAUCCAGUGUUACUAUACAAUUUGUUAACUAUUGCGAGCAUUGCAAAAUGACGUCUAAAAGCUAUAGUCGACUCAGAGUCGACUUAGAGUGCCGUCCCAUUAGGCACGGAUUGGAAUAACGGAUCGGAUUCUGCUAAGGAAUUCUAGUGUAUUCUUGAUCCUGCUGUUUCUCCCGAUCGAAACGUUAAAUUUCCUGUAAUCCGGACGGAUCUGGCGGGUGUUUCUGUCCGCUCAAAUUUUAAAACGCCAUUGUGUUGGAAGAAUAUCAUCAGAAUAUUUUGUUUUAUUCCGACUUGUAUCAGUUUAUGUGAUGUGCAUGUGUUGUCACUAGGACUUAGCACGUAAUAAUAAGUCAAAAUUCUACCAAGAUGAAUACCAAUAAUUAGGAAAAGAGCCGGCUAUAAAAUGCGGUUAUUGUGGGUGGAUAAUAUACGGAUCCUGUGCGGAGAUUCAAGCUCAUACUGCUUCAAAAGUUACAAUGAAUUUAUCCAUAUUCUCGUUGUUGACGAGAAGGGCCGUGCUACAAUGAGAAUAAAGCAAGUAGGAAAAAGUACGCAGGAUGCACCACCAUCAGAGAAUAGUAAUGCAUUUACUUCAUAAUCAAUGGACCUCAUGGAUGAGAUAGAUACUCAUUGAUGCCGUUGAGCAAAGAUCAGGUCUAUGGAAUCAAAAGUUGCCAGUUCAAAAGCGAAGCCCUUAUAUACAACAAGAGUUUUAAGAACGUAGCGUGGAUGAAAUCUCGAUGGAUGUACUUGAGGAACUGUUACAAAAGCUCGCAAAAAAAUGAAAAAUUAUGUACGCAACGGAUCAGGUGCGGAAGCGGGACAUCCACAGAAAAGUACUUUCUGCUUCUAUUUAAGAAUGCAAUUUCUAUAUAAGGCUGUACAGGAAAUGCCUACAAGUUCUCUAUCACGGAACAUAUGUCAUGAUGAAGCUAGUGCAUUAAGCUCGAAUGAUUCGGAAUUUCAGCAAUAUAAUGUGUCUUCUCCAACAGAUUGUAGCACAUUUAUGAAACAUCAAACUAUUCGGCUCAUAGCAGACGAUUAACAAAAAAACAAAAAGGAAAACAGUAUGAUCGAUUUGCAGACACUGCAUGACAACAUAUUGCAACAGUUGCUUGCUGAAAAUACUCCAAAAAAGGAUGCAGUGGACAGUUUCCUGAAGCAGUUGGGAGAUAUCCUGCGUAAGUUGAGCUAUCUUCGAAGAAGGCGAA
Acromyrmex echinatior (Panamanian leafcutter ant) is the source of this 2162-nucleotide long non-coding RNA. Lineage: Eukaryota; Metazoa; Arthropoda; Insecta; Hymenoptera; Formicidae. The record is from RefSeq and is a predicted model, not a curated record.